UCUCAUUCAUUUGACAGAGGGUAGGACGAA
This 30-nucleotide non-coding RNA is filed under the name Rattus norvegicus (Norway rat). Lineage: Eukaryota; Metazoa; Chordata; Mammalia; Rodentia; Muridae. The record is from RNAcentral.